RNAcentral lists this unclassified non-coding RNA (343 nucleotides) under soil metagenome. Its description in RNAcentral is "partial contains 5.8S ribosomal RNA, internal transcribed spacer 2, and large subunit ribosomal RNA". The stretch from base 1 to 120 matches the Rfam family "5.8S ribosomal RNA", at positions 35 to 154 of the family's 154-position model. The record is from RNAcentral.
GAUGAAGAACGUAGCGAAAUGCGAUAAGUAAUGUGAAUUGCAGAAUUCAGUGAAUCAUCGAAUCUUUGAACGCACAUUGCGCCCGCCAGCAUUCUGGCGGGCAUGCCUGUUCGAGCGUCAUUUCAACCCUCGAGCCCCCCCGGGGGCCUCGGUGUUGGGGGACGGCACACCAGCCGCCCCCGAAAUGCAGUGGCGACCCCGCCGCAGCCUCCCCUGCGUAGUAGCACACACCUCGCACCGGAGCGUGGAGGCGGUCACGCCGUAAAACGCCCAACUUUCUUAGAGUUGACCUCGGAUCAGGUAGGAAUACCCGCUGAACUUAAGCAUAUCAAUAAGCGGAGGA